AUACGGAGGAUGCAAGCGUUAUCCGGAUUUAUUGGGUUUAAAGGGUGCGUAGGCGGGACUGUAAGUCAGGGGUGAAAUACUGCAGCUUAACUGUAGCAUUGCCUUUGAAACUGCCGUUCUUGAGUACAGUUGAGGUAGGCGGAAUGUGGUGUGUAGCGGUGAAAUGCAUAGAUAUACCACAGAACGCAGAUUGCGAAGGCAGCUUACUAAGCUGUUACUGACGCUGAGGCACGAAAGCGUGGGGAUCAAACAGGAUUAGAUACCCUGGUAGUCCACGCUGUAAACGAUGAUUACUGGUUGUUAGCGAUAUAUAGCUAGUGACUGAGCGAAAGCAUUAAGUAAUCCACCUGGGGAGUACGUCGGCAACGAUGAAACUCAAAGGAAUUGACGGG
RNAcentral lists this ribosomal RNA (392 nucleotides) under uncultured bacterium. RNAcentral's name for it is "partial 16S ribosomal RNA". It matches the Rfam family "Bacterial small subunit ribosomal RNA", at positions 523 to 917 of the family's 1533-position model. The record is from RNAcentral.